This 247-nucleotide ribosomal RNA is filed under the name Bacillus pumilus. RNAcentral's name for it is "partial 16S ribosomal RNA". It matches the Rfam family "Bacterial small subunit ribosomal RNA", at positions 1249 to 1494 of the family's 1533-position model. The record is from RNAcentral. Lineage: Bacteria; Bacillati; Bacillota; Bacilli; Caryophanales; Bacillaceae.
GCGAGACUGCAAGGUUUAGCCAAUCCCAUAAAUCUGUUCUCAGUUUGGAUCGCAGUCUGCAACUCGACUGCGUGAAGCUUGAAUCGCUAGUAAUCGCGGAUCAGCAUGCCGCGGUGAAUACGUUCCCGGGCCUUGUACACACCGCCCGUCACACCACGAGAGUUUGCAACACCCGAAGUCGGUGAGGUAACCUUUAUGGAGCCAGCCGCCGAAGGUGGGGCAGAUGAUUGGGGUGAAGUCGUAACAA